CAGAAGGCGCCGGAAAGUGGAAUGAGAGCUCUGCAGUCUCUGGGCUAAGUACAGCAGCUCUGUUUCUUACUGGCCUGCCUGGGGACAGUGACACUGGAGAUGCGCUUUCAUGUGAAUUCUCCAUUUUGUUCUUUCAGUCUUUGAACGAAUACAACAUCGCCCGGUUGGAAUAUUAUCGCUAUUUUACAAGAAAAAUCGCAUAAAAAUGUAUUUUAAACAGCGUUUCACAUGCUUCGAAGUACAGUAAUGGAAUAUUUUGAAUUUUUUUGUCACGAAAUGGGCCCGCGCAUCACCCUUCGGAUAGUUACCUGAACGCACGAACAAAACGCCGCUAUUUGGAUAAAACUAUGGAUUAUUUGGGACCAAACCAACAAUUGUUAUUGAAGUAGAAGUCCUGGGAGUGCAUUCUGAUGAAGAACACCAAAGUUUUCCCGGUUUUGUCCUUUCUGCCUGCCCUGACCCUGAGCCUGCCUGCCGUCUGGUACAUUUGCCCCACUACUCUGGAAUACCUACCUCUGCCUGACCCUGAGCCUGCCUGCCGUCCGGUAGCUUUGCCCCACUACUCUGGAUUACUGACCUCUGCCUGACCUGACCCUGAGCCUGACUGCCGUCCAGUACCUUUGUCUGCCCGUGUUCGUAUUAAUAAACCUUUGUUAUUUCGACAUUGUCUGCACCUGGGCAUUACCUUCAAACGUGAUAGAUUUGUAUUGGUAUGAUAUAAACAUGCUGAAUAAAUGGCUAUUAUGUUAUUUAGUAGGAAAUAACAUUCAUUUGAUGAGAAGAUUUCCUGUCCCUCUUUUGCAUGUACAUUUUGAAGGUGCUAUGCUCAUAAAACUAUAUUUCCUGUCCCUCUUAUGCAUGUCCAUGUUGAAGGUGUUAUGCUCAUGAAACUAGGACAGUUGGUUCAAAUAUCAUGAAAUACCAAUGGAUUCCGUCCGAAAUGUCAAAAUAUAGCUAUGGCACUCAAGUGUAUAGUGAAUGUAUGGUGUUGAAUUAAGUUGCUAAGGCCUUUUGACCUAUUCCUAAUUGAUAGACAAGGUGCAAUACUGGGUUAAUCCCAGCAGCCUAUAAACAUACAGAAGCUUUCUAGAUCUAUAUCAGGGGUCUCCAACCUUUUCUAGUUGAGAUCUUUAAAAAAAAUGAAACACGUUGCCAGCUAUUCAAUUUUUUCUAUCUUUCAAAAUAGGCACAUUCUCCUCUUCUCCUCUCCCCUGCAACUGUUCCCCCAUGUCCUUGGUGUGCAAGAGAAAGUAGUGCACUAUGUUUUCUGUCAAUAUAAUUGGUAAAAUAAUAGUUAAUAAACAACUCUAGGGCCUCUUGAGUGGUGCAGCGGUUCAAGGCACUGCAUCGCAGUGUUGUGGCAUCACUACAGCCUGGGGUUUAAUCCCAGCCGUGACCAGGACAACCAGCUGUGAUCGGGAGUCCCAUUGGGCAGUGCACAAUUGGCCCCGCAUCGUCCGGGUUAGGGGAGGGUUUGGCUGGGGGGGGGGGGCUUUAUUUGGCUCAUCGCGCUCUAGUGACUCCUUUGUGGCGGGCUGGGCGCCUGCAGGCUGACUCGGUUGUCAGUUGAACAGUGUUUCCUCCAACACAUUAGUACAGCUGGCUUCCGGUUUAAGCGAGCCGCUGUUAAGAAGCGCGGCUUGGCAGGUCAUGUUUCGGAGGAAGCAUGACUCGACCUUUACCUUUGCAGCGAUGAGAGAAGAUAAUAAUCACGAAAUUGGAGAGAAAAAGUGAAAUUUUAAAAUUCAGUUUUAUAUUUUCCCAAAUGAUGUUUCCUCAGUUUUAAUUUUCCUGGUUUUAGAUUUGUUUUGUUUUUUCUCCAAACAAUCAAAUUGUUCAUAGAGAAACAACGGAAUUGGAUGUUCUGAGUCCAUGUCAAUGGUUAAAUCACAUCAAAAGACAAAACAUUUUUGGGUCUGGAGAAAAAUGAACAAAUACAUUUUUUUGCGUAACUUCCCUUUAGUUGUGCAUCUAGCGAGUGAGGAAUGCCCUGUCUAAUGUUCCGGUCUAGCGAUGCUUCUGUGCUGCUGCUGCUCAUUUCAUCGCAAAGUUUGCAAAUAACAAAUAAUGAUAAACUUCUGCCAGGACCAUGCCUCAGGACUACCUGGUAUGAUGACUCCUUGCUGUCCCCAGUCCACCUGGCCGUGCUGCUGCUCCAGUUUCAACUGUUCUGCCUGCGGCUAUGGAACCCUGACCUGUUCACCGGACGUGCUUGUUGCACCCUCGACAACUACUAUGAUUAUUAUUAUUUGACCAUGCUGGUCAUUUAUGAACAUUUUAACAUUUUAACAUUUUGACCAUGUUCUGUUAUAAUAUCCACCCUGCACAGCCAGAAGAGGACUGGCCACCCCUCAUAGCCUGGUUCCUCUCUAGGUUUCUUCCUAGGUUUUUGGCCUUUCUAGGGAGUUUUUCCUAGGGAGUUUUUCCUAGCCACCGUGCUUCUUUCACAUGCUUUGCUUGCUGUUUGGGGUUUUAGGCUGAGUUUCU
Molecule: long non-coding RNA, 2487 nt
Filed under: Salmo salar (Atlantic salmon)
Lineage: Eukaryota; Metazoa; Chordata; Actinopteri; Salmoniformes; Salmonidae
Description: lncRNA (ENSSSAG00000119426.1)
Source: RNAcentral